GGAGAGAUGUGAGAGCGGUUUAAUCAGCACGCUUGGAAAGUGUGUGUACUGUCAAAAGUACCGAGGGUUCGAAUCCCUCUCUCUCCGCCA
This 90-nucleotide transfer RNA is filed under the name Candidatus Pelagibacteraceae bacterium. RNAcentral's name for it is "tRNA-Ser". It matches the Rfam family "tRNA". From Rfam's summary of the family: Transfer RNA (tRNA) molecules are approximately 80 nucleotides in length. Their secondary structure includes four short double-helical elements and three loops (D, anti-codon, and T loops). Lineage: Bacteria; Pseudomonadati; Pseudomonadota; Alphaproteobacteria; Candidatus Pelagibacterales; Candidatus Pelagibacteraceae. The record is from RNAcentral.